UUUUUUUUUUUUUGAUAAAGUAAAGUUGUAUUCUUCAGCAAUGAGGGUAUGCUGGCAACCAUCAAAAAGAUUUACAUCAGUGACCCAAAAAGGACCAACUCAAGAAAUUGCUACUAAACUUAUAAAGAAGAGAAAAAAUUUAAAAUCUGUCCAGCAUCCUCUAUACCCUCCUCAUUACACCAAAAACAGAAGGUCUUCAUACAACGCCAUUUGAUCUUUUGUACUGAUUCUGCAGUAUUUUCCAUACACCUCUUGUUUCUUUCUCUCCAAAUAGUCCACCAUAUACAAGAGGGUAUCAUGUUCCACCAUUUCUUCUGGCUCUUUUACAUAUGGGGAAGAUAGAUAUAUAACAGAACAGAACUUCAGAAUACUUAUAGAGCUUCAAGACAAGAGGUACUCUUUCACCUUCCAGUCACCUAUCCUACACCACUACAUUCUCCUUCAAGGCAUGAUAAACGUGCUUUCAGACUGUCACUUGAAAAAAGCACUUGGCAGAUCCAGAUUUCCAUUUUGUACUUUCUAAGGGAAACAUUCUUGCUCUAUUUGCAGGAUCGCACCAUUGGAUAGGUUAAAUAUUCAGUUGGUAGAUCAGAACUUUUAUUUUUAAUACUUGCAAAAGAUUCUCCCCAAGUUGCACAGAAUUCUUGCCUAUAAUAGUCAUCCUCUCUAAUAUUGCUACUUGAGAGAACUCUAAAUAUGAAAAGUAACUAUAUUCCAAAGCCUAAUAGAUAUUAGAAGCCCUCUUUUAUUUGUUAUCUAAUAUUCCCUACAAAUUUGGAACAGAGCCUACAGCCUUUACUUGAAUAGCUUCAAUAUAAACCUGUCUUUGAAAGUGCUACGGAACUCUACAAACACUUCAGUACCUGAGGCUUUAGAUGAUAUGUAGACAAGAUUAAGUCGUAGAUAUUACUGGCUCAAUAUAAAACAGAAAGAAUUAUUAAAAAUUAAAAGCGAAUAGCAGAAACUGAUCUCAGCGAAGAUUUUUUUUUUGAUAAAGUAAAGUUGUAUUCUUCAGCAAUGAGGGUAUGCUGGCAACCAUCAAAAAGAUUUACAUCAGUGACCCAAAAAGGACCAACUCAAGAAAUUGCUACUAAACUUAUAAAGAAGAGAAAAAAUUUAAAAUCUGUCCAGCAUCCUCUAUACCCUCCUCAUUACACCAAAAACAGAAGGUCUUCAUACAACGCCAUUUGAUCUUUUGUACUGAUUCUGCAGUAUUUUCCAUACACCUCUUGUUUCUUUCUCUCCAAAUAGUCCACCAUAUACAAGAGGGUAUCAUGUUCCACCAUUUCUUCUGGCUCUUUUACAUAUGGGGAAGAUAGAUAUAUAACAGAACAGAACUUCAGAAUACUUAUAGAGCUUCAAGACAAGAGGUACUCUUUCACCUUCCAGUCACCUAUCCU
RNAcentral lists this long non-coding RNA (1400 nucleotides) under Solanum tuberosum (potato). Its description in RNAcentral is "long non-coding RNA (STUB_LNC006531)". The record is from RNAcentral. Lineage: Eukaryota; Viridiplantae; Streptophyta; Magnoliopsida; Solanales; Solanaceae.